GUGACAGCAGCCGCGGUAAUACGUAGGUGGCGAGCGUUGUCCGGAUUUACUGGGCGUAAAGAGCGCGCAGGCGGCUGGGCAAGUCCGAUGUGAAAGCUUCCGGCUUAACUGGAAAAUUGCAUCGGAAACUGCUCGGCUUGAAGGUGGGAGAGGGUAGCGGAAUUCCCGGUGUAGUGGUGAAAUGCGUAGGCAUCGGGAGGAACACCAGUGGCGAAGGCGACUACCUGGCCCAUUCUUGACGCUGAGGCGCGAAAGCUAGGGGAGCGAACGGGAUUAGAUACCCGUGUAGUCC
Molecule: ribosomal RNA, 292 nt
Filed under: uncultured bacterium
Lineage: Bacteria
Description: partial 16S ribosomal RNA
Rfam family: Bacterial small subunit ribosomal RNA
Source: RNAcentral